ACGGCGAGUGAAGCGGCAACAGCUCAAAUUUGAAAUCUGGCCCUCGGGUCCGAGUUGUAAUUUGUAGAGGAUGCUUUUGGCGCGGUGCCUUCCGAGUUCCCUGGAACGGGACGCCACAGAGGGUGAGAGCCCCGUCUGGUCGGACACCAAGCCUCUGUAAAGCUCCUUCGACGAGUCGAGUAGUUUGGGAAUGCUGCUCUAAAUGGGAGGUAUAUGUCUUCUAAAGCUAAAUACCGGCCAGAGACCGAUAGCGCACAAGUAGAGUGAUCGAAAGAUGAAAAGCACUUUGAAAAGAGAGUUAAAAAGUACGUGAAAUUGUUGAAAGGGAAGCGCUCAUGACCAGACUUGGGCCUGUUUGAUCAACCUGGGUUCUCCCGGGUGCACUCUCUCAGGCCUAGGCCAGCAUCAGUUCGCCGCGGGGGACAAAGGCCUCGGGAAUGUGGCUCCCCUCGGGGAGUGUUAUAGCCCGUUGCGUAAUACCCUGCGGCGGACUGAGGACCGCGCGAAAGCAAGGAU
This 516-nucleotide ribosomal RNA is filed under the name Thelonectria trachosa. RNAcentral describes it as "LSU rRNA". It matches the Rfam family "Eukaryotic large subunit ribosomal RNA", at positions 86 to 624 of the family's 3401-position model. The record is from RNAcentral. Lineage: Eukaryota; Fungi; Ascomycota; Sordariomycetes; Hypocreales; Nectriaceae.